GACGAACGCUGGCGGCGUGCUUAACACAUGCAAGUCGAACGGGAUUUAGUAGACAGGAGCCUCGGCUAAAGAUUACUAAUGAGAGUGGCGAACGGGUGAGUAACGCGUGAGCAACCUGCCUAUGACAGUGGGAUAGCCUCGGGAAACCGGGAUUAAUACCGCAUAAAAUCGUAGAAACACAUGUUUUAACGGUCAAAGAUUUAUCGGUCAUAGAUGGGCUCGCGUCUGAUUAGCUAGUUGGUGAGAUAACAGCCCACCAAGGCGACGAUCAGUAGCCGGUCUGAGAGGAUGAACGGCCACAUUGGCACUGAGACACGGUCCAAACUCCUACGGGAGGCAGCAGUGGGGAAUAUUGCACAAUGGGGGAAACCCUGAUGCAGCGACGCCGCGUGAACGAAGAAGGUAUUCGUAUCGUAAAGUUCUGUCCUAUGGGAAGAUAAUGACAGUACCAUAGAAGAAAGCUCCGGCUAACUACGUG
RNAcentral lists this ribosomal RNA (478 nucleotides) under uncultured bacterium. RNAcentral's name for it is "partial 16S ribosomal RNA". It matches the Rfam family "Bacterial small subunit ribosomal RNA", at positions 28 to 507 of the family's 1533-position model. The record is from RNAcentral.